GGGUGAGUAAUGCUUGGAAAUCUGUCCAGUAGUGGGGGAUAACGUGUGGAAACGCACGCUAAUACCGCAUACGUCCUACGGGAGAAAGCAGGGGAUCUUCGGACCUUGCGCUAUUGGAUGAGCCCAAGUCAGAUUAGCUAGUUGGUGAGGUAAUGGCUCACCAAGGCGACGAUCUGUAGCUGGUCUGAGAGGAUGAUCAGCCACACUGGGACUGAGACACGGCCCAGACUCCUACGGGAGGCAGCAGUGGGGAAUAUUGCACAAUGGGCGAAAGCCUGACGCAGCCAUGCCGCGUGUGUGAAGAAGGCUCUAGGGUUGUAAAGCACUUUCAGUGGGGAGGAAAAGUUUAAGAUUAAUACUCUUGAACCUUGACGUUACCUGCAGAAGAAGCACCGGCAAACUCCGUG
RNAcentral lists this ribosomal RNA (407 nucleotides) under uncultured bacterium. RNAcentral's name for it is "bacterial SSU rRNA". It matches the Rfam family "Bacterial small subunit ribosomal RNA", at positions 104 to 507 of the family's 1533-position model. The record is from RNAcentral.